Molecule: long non-coding RNA, 2139 nt
Organism: Harpia harpyja (harpy eagle)
Lineage: Eukaryota; Metazoa; Chordata; Aves; Accipitriformes; Accipitridae
Exons: 3
Source: RefSeq, a predicted model, not a curated record
UCUUCCAGGGCAGAUGGAGCCUUGACCUGCCUGUGAGAGGAAAGCCCACCUGUGUGGCCAUGGCUGCGACUCAUGAGUAUGCUGACUGGAAGGAGGACGAGUGGCUAAAGCACAGCUACUGUCACACAGCUGCUGGAUCCAGCCGGCUUGCCUGCAGCCCCUUCUGAGCACAGAGGGCAAGACUGCUUUGUCUGCAGCCUCUUCUGCAGAUGUUGCCUCAGUAAAAGCUGGAUCAUUUGUGAAGAGUCUUAGAGACUCCGUCUCAGCUUCCUGCCCUGCUGGAGAUGGUUUAAACCCAAAUCUCUCACCUCUCCCCCAUAUAAGAGGCCCAACCACUACGAUGCUGGUACAGGAGCUGGAGUGGGGCGUGAGGGGGCAGAGAGCAUCUGUUGUCUUUUUGACUGAAGCUGUUCCACUGCGCAGAAAAACCUUCAAAAUUCAAUAGAUCAAAGAGGGACCAAGAGGAAAUAAGAGUGUAUCAUCUAGCAGUUUGUACAGCCACCUGGCAGAAGGAAAUCUGCAUACCACCCGCUCUCCUACACAUAUCUGCAUGCUUUUAUAUGGAAAGAUCAUUGGAUAACAUAAAAAAAAAAUCUGACCCUACAUUCGUUUUCACUUUUUUUUUAAUUGGAUUGUGCAUAAGUGCUCUGUGUGGGAGGAACCCUUAUCAGAAAUAUGAAGCUUUUCUUGCUGAAUGGAAAGAUGAAAACAUGCUCAGUAAGCUGCUGUAUCUGUCUCAUGAGCUAAGCUCCGAGCUGACCUGAUGAUCCCACAAAACAAAGAGCUGCCUAUAAAAUAUGUCUUAAUUGCAGAGAAAGUAUGAAAUCAAAACCAGUUGUUGCUGGUGGUGACAGCUUCCAUGGAUUCCUGCUACUAUCUACAGAGAAAAAAAGUGCAGGCAGCCUGAGAGACUACCUGGUAGUCUAUGCACAGCACAGACCUCUCACAAAAACCUCAGAAGGAUAAAAAUUCAUAAUAUCCCUUCUCCCCAUCUCUGUCUUGUUCUGUGCCCAGCUGAGGCCUGACUGCACAGACAUCCUGUCUUAUACAGCUGAGAAAUUCAGGUCUCAGUGCCUUGCUGGUUUUGUGCAAAGAUUUUAUUCAGGCUUUGCUCAGUUUUUUGAAUUUGAGCCUUCUGUGCUUUACUGAUGUGCAUUUACGGCUGGACAAUUCCCAAUAUUGAGAAGCAGUAUGCAGAGCUUUUCACGAGGUUAGAAAAUGAAUCCGAAACUUAACAAACCAUUGUUUAUCUCAUUAUAUGCAUCUUCAGAGAGCCAAGAGCAACCUACACAGUGCCACUGUUCUGUGGAUUAAUUCACGGCUGAUGAAAACAGAUUGUUCUUACAACCAAAAGCUCUAUUGUUCGAAUGUCCCUUCGUGAAUUUUGCUGCCCUGUAUUACCCAUUGCCUGUAGGAGUCACAAGACCUUCGAGGAUGCGGCUGCCAAUGUAGCCUCAGUGAGCACGGUACCCUUUAUGCCUGGGUAACAAAUUUACUUAAAGGACCAUUCACUCAUUGGCUGGCAUGUUUUUUUUCCAUUUUGUCAGAUGGAUGAAUGUCAUGGCAGCCAAGGACAGAUGAAGGUUUGAAAUAUUACAAGCAAAAGCCUCUCGCUAAGAUAAUAUAAAACCAGUUCUUGCAAACAUAUCUCUGAGGAGGAAAUAGGCUAGAGAUUAUCACGAGAAUUUUUUCUAGCUGUAAAAUUUUGUUAAGAUGCGAGCAAAAAAACCAAACCACCCAGUAAACCUAUCAAACUUAACUCAGCACUAAAACUUCAGUCUUUCUUAAGACAAUACUAUUUGAAAUUGCCACAUCAUUCAAUUUUAAGUGAUUUGCAUACCAAAUGCAAAAAAAUGAUUAACUGGAAACUUCCCCCUCCACCCCCUCUGAGACAUAUGGUGAGACAGCAACAGAAAUGAUGGAUGUGGUGGAUGAUUGCUUGCUGAACCAGUGUGUGAGAAACUAUGCUAGGAAUAAUUCAUGUCAAGAUACGGUCUUAACUAAAAGACAUAUUAAAACCAACAUCUUGACAGGUUUAAUAUCUUACAUGAUACACAUAAUCCAUGACUUCUAAGGCAUGUGAUUAUCUCAAAACAUGAUAUUUCAGUAGAACUUCAAUUUUAUGGAAAGAUCUCAAGA